GAACUUUCCAGAGAUGGAUUGGUGCCUUCGGGAACUGUGAGACAGGUGCUGCAUGGCUGUCGUCAGCUCGUGUUGUGAAAUGUUGGGUUAAGUCCCGCAACGAGCGCAACCCUUAUCCUUUGUUGCCAGCGAUUAGGUCGGGAACUCAAAGGAGACUGCCAGUGAUAAACUGGAGGAAGGUGGGGAUGACGUCAAGUCAUCAUGGCCCUUACGACCAGGGCUACACACGUGCUACAAUGGCGCAUACAAAGAGAAGCGACCUCGCGAGAGCAAGCGGACCUCAUAAAGUGCGUCGUAGUCCGGAUUGGAGUCUGCAACUCGACUCCAUGAAGUCGGAAUCGCUAGUAAUCGUGGAUCAGAAUGCCACGGUGAAUACGUUCCCGGGCCUUGUACACACCGCCCGUCACACCAUGGGAGUGGGUUGCAAAAGAAGUAGGUAGCUUAACCUUCGGGAGGGCGCUUACCACUUUGUGAUUCAUGACUGGGGUGAAGUCGUAACAAGGUAACCGUAGGGGAACCUGCGGUUGGAUCACCUCCUUA
Molecule: ribosomal RNA, 540 nt
Filed under: Salmonella enterica subsp. enterica serovar Heidelberg
Lineage: Bacteria; Pseudomonadati; Pseudomonadota; Gammaproteobacteria; Enterobacterales; Enterobacteriaceae
Also listed under: 4 other names
Description: bacterial SSU rRNA
Rfam family: Bacterial small subunit ribosomal RNA
Source: RNAcentral